This 339-nucleotide unclassified non-coding RNA is filed under the name soil metagenome. Its description in RNAcentral is "partial contains 5.8S ribosomal RNA, internal transcribed spacer 2, and large subunit ribosomal RNA". The stretch from base 1 to 120 matches the Rfam family "5.8S ribosomal RNA", at positions 35 to 154 of the family's 154-position model. The record is from RNAcentral.
GAUGAAGAACGUAGCGAAAUGCGAUAAGUAGUGUGAAUUGCAGAAUUCAGUGAAUCAUCGAAUCUUUGAACGCACAUUGCGCCCCUUGGUAUUCCAUGGGGCAUGCCUGUUCGAGCGUCAUCUACAACCUCAAGCCCUGCUUGGUGUUGGGCGUCUGUCCCGCCCCCGCGCGCGGACUCGCCCCAAAUCCAUUGGCGGCGGCCCUUGCCUCCCUCUCGCGCAGCACAUUGCGCUUCUCGAGGCGUCGCGGGCCGCGCUCCACGAAGCACGCAAACCAGUCUUUGACCUCGGAUCAGGUAGGGAUACCCGCUGAACUUAAGCAUAUCAAUAAGCGGAGGA